This 215-nucleotide non-coding RNA is filed under the name Ruminiclostridium cellulolyticum. The record is from RNAcentral. Lineage: Bacteria; Bacillati; Bacillota; Clostridia; Eubacteriales; Oscillospiraceae. RNAcentral also lists the same sequence under 1 other name.
UUAAUAAUUAACGAUAUUGGUUUGCUCAAAAUUAUGAGUAACUAAGAGGGAAUCAGGUGAAAAUCCUGAACAGUCCUGCUGCCGUAUGAUGGAGCGGUUCUCUAAAAGCAAGAUUUAUUUUUUGCUAUAUAUGCCACUGGGUAAAUCAGCCCGGGAAGGUGAGAACUUUGCUAUGAUAUCUGAGUCGGAAGACCUGCCAGUAUUUCUGCAGAUGC